AUAAAAUGCUUCAUAACUCUAAUCAUAAUAAGUAAAGGAAAAUCUUCAAAACCGAUUCCAAUAUUCAAAAUUUUCACUACAAUUUAUUAAGUAACAAAUUAUAUUUCAAGAAAUAUUAUAUAACAUUCAUAAUGUUAUAACAGUCUCAUCCUACUUAGACGCGUUAGUAAAAUAGAUUCAAUAACUCAACUUAUUUUUAAUGCAUUUUGUUCAUUUUAAAUUAUUAAUUUCAUAAUUUUAUCUCUGAACUCAAAUGUUCAUCAUGCAAUUUGGAUCUUAUACAUUUUAAUUGAUUCGACAAUAAUACUUGUUUGAUGUCAGAUCUUAUUAUAAAAAUAUUAAGUUUCUUUUUAAGGAAAAGUUAAUACCAAAUCAAUUAGAGCAUCUCCAACCCCACUCUAUUUUUCACUCUAAAAUAGAGUUUAGAGUAAAGAAUGCUCCAAUGGUACUCUAUUUCUUACUCUAUAAUAGAGUAAAAAAUAGGUUUACUCCAAAUAUAGAGUAAUUUUUUUUUUUUUGUUCAUCACUCUAUUUUCUACUCUAAAAUAGAGUAACAUUGGAGCAAACUCAUACUCUAUUAUAGAGUUACUCUAUUUUAGAGUAAAAAAUAGAGUGAACCAUUAGUAGUAGAUUAUCCUUUUGAGAUUUCUGAACACAAAUUCUAAAAAGAUCAUAUAAUCUUACUUUCUCAUAUUAAUUUUUCUCAAGAUCAUAUAUUUAAUUUCAAACAUUUAUAAUAUAAAAUUGAAAGAAUUGGUUCAAAAGUUGAGCGAUAUACACUAACCAUAAAGAAAUUCAAAUUAUCUUGUAGUUUUUUCAUAAUACGUAUACUUUUUUUUUGGAACACUAUAUAAUUAAUGGGUCAAAUCUUUGUAAAGGUUAUAUAAAAUUAAUAUAAUAAGAUAUGUGAUAUUUAAAUUCAUAAUACUUAUACUAUAUAAUUAAAAAUCUAAUGAAAUAAAAUUUCUUCUAAAUAUAAUCUGUAAAAUAAUUUAAGAUUAUAAAUUUAAAUAUCACAUAUAUUAUUAUAUUAAUUUUAUAUAACCUCUACAAAGAUCUGACCUAUUAAUUUAGAAAGAAAUCUCAAGACAAUAAACAAAUUAGAUACUACACAUGUCUUACCAGCUCCAUCGCUUGUACUUAUAAGCAUGCUCUUGCUCCCUUACUUUGUUCACACCAAGCACCAAAAGAAAAAAAAAGAGAGAGAGUAAAGUUUACAUCAUACCAACAAAAUGGCAUUAUCAAAGCUUCAAUCUGUAGGCAUACUCGUUAUAUGUUCUCUCCUACUGACUUCUCUGUCAAGAGAUGUAAGGGAGAAUGACGAGCAUCGUUCGGAUUGUGUUUACAAAGGCCCGUGUAAGAGCAAUCAAGACUGUAAGAGUCAGUGUGGUCCGCCUAACUUCCCACCAACGACUAUUGGCUUAUGUCAAGCCAGUCCUAGAGGCCACGGCAACAUUUGUUGUUGUUCCAAAGAUUAAUAUUCUCUUUCUCAAAAAAAAAAAAGAAGAUUAAUAUUCUCCCAUCAGCUAUAAUCCUAGAAUUUUUUGUACUUAUAUAUUAUUAAAUUCUAAUAAGUUCCAAUGUUUAAGCAGAAAACAAAAAAGUUUACUUCAUUUUUGGAUUUCAAAAUUCAUCUAUAUAUAUAAACUUAAUCUUAUGUAAAG
This is a long non-coding RNA of Brassica napus (rape), 1664 nucleotides long. RefSeq lists it as uncharacterized. The record is from RefSeq and is a predicted model, not a curated record. The transcript has 2 exons. NCBI's taxonomy places the organism in Eukaryota, Viridiplantae, Streptophyta, Magnoliopsida, Brassicales, Brassicaceae.